Molecule: long non-coding RNA, 1041 nt
Filed under: Citrus maxima (pomelo)
Lineage: Eukaryota; Viridiplantae; Streptophyta; Magnoliopsida; Sapindales; Rutaceae
Description: long non-coding RNA (CMAX_LNC002117)
Source: RNAcentral
GAGAAUUAAAAUCAUAAUCGUGGUCAACCACAAAUUAGAAAUGAGAAAUGAGAGAUUGAUUUUCACUGGGUUAGAAAUCGAUCUUCCACUCUUAGUAAGGGUGGGCAAAUAACUCGAUCCGACCCAAAAAAUAGAGUUUGGAUCAAAUUAGAUUACUUACCCAAUUCGAUCAAGUGCUCUUUACUCAACUCGAUUAGAUUAGAUUAAAUCCAAUCUUAUCCGAAAAAUCUAAUUGGGUUGGUCUUGACUCAAAAAAAUUGAGCCAAAUAUUGACUCACUCUCUCGCACAAACAACAGUCGCUCACACACACAAAAAAAAAAACCAAAUCUUUGACUCGCUCUCUCACAUAGUCAACACAACACUCACACCACGCAAGCACACACAUAUGCUGCGGCAUCAUUCACCAAACAGACAAAUACAUACAUAGAUUGAAGAUGCCAGAUGCAGUGCAGAUGGCAAUUAGAAUGGCAGCACAGACAAACAUUGCAGCAAGCAGUCACCGACUCACCAACGCAAACACGCGAAGCUAAGCCAUCACGAGUCCGCAACGCACCGAUACGAUCUACUGCAGCUCGGCUGCUGCCGCCUCUUGCUUCACCAACCACUGUGAUUGUUGCUGCAGGUUGCUCCACCUCAACCGACAUCCAUCGUCACCGAGUUUCUCUAAAAUAAAGUUUUCAUGGUAUAUUACUAUAUUAUAUUAAAUAAUUAUAAUGGGGUUUAUUGUUUGACAUAUUGUGGCAUUAAAUCAUAAUUGCAAUCACCAAAGUUUAUGAACUUGAAUGCAAUUUCUAGUUGAGAAACAAAAAUAGAGUUGAGAAUGAGUCAGUAAGAAAGGAAAUAAAGCUCAUUGAAGUGUUAAUCCUAACCUGAUUUGAUGGGAACUCAACUCAACUUUUUGAUCUGAUCCGAAUAUAUUCAAAUAGGAUCGGAUCGAAUUACAAAUUCAUGUUGAAUUUAAAUGAGUUUUUCUCCAACCUGAUCAACUUGAAACUUGAUUAGGUUGACUCGAACUCAAUCCAAACUUGAUUUUGUCCACC